GACAGAGUUUGCAGCACCAGCAGCUGAUGUGAAACAAGAAGACCAGCCGGACUCGUCCAUUUGGUUUUGUUCACAAACUAAGAACUUGUGUCUUGUAAGCUUUUUGCUGUUUUUUACACUGAUGCUUGUGGCUUAUUCCAGCUUUUUCUCCUUCUUCCCUGGGUGUUGCCAAAGGUACUCUUCAGCAGAAUGCACAGGCAGUAGCUUUUGGUCAUUGUUGAAAGCCUUACUUUGCCCUCAAAUGAGGCUAAGGCAUGGGGCUCCUCCACCUGUUUGACUCAGUAAUCAAUGUAAUUUUCAAAAUAAAGAGCACUUUUAAAUUUUAACUGUUUUAAAUGAACUUCAUAAUUUUAGCUUGUGUAUACAUUUAUUUUUCUGUUCACCUAUAAUGCCAGAAUAACUGAUCAUGUAGUUGCUCAUUCUAAAUUAUAUCUUUCUCUUACAUAGAAUGUAGAACAUAAAACAGUAUAGCACAGGAACAAGCCAUUUGGCCCACAAUGUUGUGCUGAACCAGCUAAAGAGCAAAUCAAAAACACCAAACACUAAUCCCUCCAUCUUCCUUAAAUCCAUGUGCUUAUCCAACUGUUUCUUAAAAGUUUCUAAUGUAUUUUACCUCUACCACCAUACCAGGCAGUGCAUUCCGGGUAUUCACCACAUGCUGAGUAAAAAAUUUGUUCCUCACACCCUCCUUGAACCUAUCCCCUUUCGCCUUCAAUGCAUGUCCUCUGGUAUUAGGCAUUUCAACCUUGGAAACAGAUAUUUCCUGUCUACUCUAUCUGUCAGAUCUCCUCCAUUGUUCCAUAGAAAACAACCCAAGUUUAUCUAGCCUCUCAUGAUAGCACAUGCUCCGUAAACCAGGCAGCAAUCUGGUAGACCUCUCUAUACCCUCUCCAAGGCCUAAACAUCCUUCCUAUAGUGGGGUGACCAGAGCUGUGUGCAAUACUCCAGACGUGGUCUAACCAGAGUUUUGUAAAGUUGCAACGUAAACUCUUGACUUUUGAACUCAGUGCCUCAGCUAAUAAAAGUAAGCAUUCUGUAAGCUUUCUUAACCACCUUAUCGACCUGUGUAGUCACCUUCAAGGAGCUAUGAACUUGGAUCCCAAGAUCUCUCUGCUUAGCAACGCUGUUCAGGAUCUUGCCCUUAACAGUGUACUGUCUCCUUGCAUUUGCCCUACGAAGGUGCAACAUGUCACAUUUAUCUGGGUUAAUCUCCAUCUGCCAUCUCGCUGCCCAUAUCUGCAACUGAUCUACAUCUUUGCCAGUUUUGUACACCACCAAUUUGGUGUCAUCCACAGAUUUACCUAGCCACCCAUCUACAUUUCCAUCCAGGUUAUUUAUAUACAUCACAAACAGCAGAGGUUCCAGUACAGAUCCUUGUGGAACUCCACUGAUUACAGAUCUCCAGCUCAAAUACCUCUUCAAUCACCACCUUCUGUUUUCUAUGCAUAAGCCACAUCUGAAUCCAAACAGCCAACUUGCAGACCCUAUGCAUCUUAAUCUUCUGGAUUAACCUCCCAUAAGGACUUGGUCAAACACCUUAUAAAAAUCCACAUAGACAAAUUGCACUGUCCUACCCUCAUCAAUCUCUCUCAUCACUUUGUGAGGCACAAUCUGACACACACAAAGCCUAAUUAGGACGUGGGUUUCCAAAUACUCAUAAAUCCGUUCUCUAAGAAUUUUCUCCAGCAAUUUCCCUACAACUGACAUGAGACUUAUCUAUAGAUCCAAGUUAUUUCCCCUUGUUCCCUUCUUAAAUACAGGUACAGCAUACAGCCUCCAGGACCUUGCCUGUGGAUAGAGAGGACAUGAAGAUACUGGUCAAGGCGCCAGCAAGCUCGUCUCUUACUCCUUCAAUAACCUGGGGUAAAUUCCAUCAGGCCCUGAGGACAUCCACCUUAAUACUCAUUAGGAUAAGGAAGUCCAACACUUCCUUCUUGACUUGCAAGCAGCCUAAUGUAUUUAUACAGUCAGCAUUGACAUCCUGAUUCUCCAUACCCCUUUCCCUGGUAAAUACUGAAGCAAAGUACCUCACUCAAAUUCUCUGCAUUGUAGCAAAUAUUCUCCCUUUUAUCCUCGAGUGGUUCCAUCCUCUUACUCUUGAUGUAUGUAUAGAAUGGCUUGGGAUUCACCUUAGUCCUACUUGCCAUGGACUUUUCAUAGCCCCUUUGGCUUUCAUAAUUCCCUCCUUUAGUUCUUUUCUGUCUUUAUACUUCUCAUGUGCUUCAUUUGAUCCUAACUUCUUAAUUUUUACAUACUUUUCCCUUUUCUUCUUGACUAAAUUAAUUCCCUCUCUGGACAUCCAAAGUUCUCUUAACUUUCCAUCUCCAUCCUUACUUCCAACAUGAACUCUCACCUUUACCCUGUGCAGUCAAUCUUUAAACCCUCUCCACAUGUCUGAUGUGGACUUGCCAGAAAAAAGGUGUUCCCAAUUAAAUCUUCUUAGUUCCUGUCUAAUGCCCUUGUAAUUUGUCCUCCAAUUUAAAAUUCUCUUGCAGGAACUAUAGCUAUCCUGAAAGAUAACAAGUUGUGGUCACUGUUCCCUAACUAUUCAUUCAAUGAAAGGUCAGUCACCUGGCCUGCCUCAAUAGCCAACACCAGGUCCAGUAUGGCCCUUCCUCAUGUAUGGUUAACAUAUUGAUUUAAGAACCCUUCCUGAAUACAUUUAACAAAUUCUGCUCCUUCUAAACCCCUCGUCUAAUAAGGUCCCAGUUUAAAUUAAGGAAUUUGAAAUCCCCAAUGGCAACAACCCAUUUCAAAUUCACACAUAUCCUUAAUCUGAUUAUGUAUCUGUUCCUCAAUGUCCUGGUGGUUAUUGGGGUGGGGGUGUCUAUAGUACAAUUAGUGCAAUGCAGCAACCUUCCUAUUCCUGAGUUCUACUCAAAUGGACUCAGCGUUUUACCCCUCCGUAUGUCUUCUCUGAGUGCAGUUGUGAUAUUGUCCUGGAUUAGUAGCGCAACUCCCUCCCCACCCCUUUACCUCCACUGUCUUUUCUGAAACAUUGAAAACCCAAUGCAAUAAUCACCCAUUCCUGCCCUUCUCUCAAUGGCGAUAGCAUCAUAGUUCUACGUACUGAUUCAUGCUCCAAAUUCAUCACUUUUACCUAUAAUACUCCUAGCAUUAAAAUAUACACACUCCAAACUAUGUUAUUUCAAUUUUGCCUUUCAAUACUUUCCCUGAUAACUACCUUUCCCCAAUGACCUGGUGCUCCUGUUCCCAGCCCCCUGCAAAACUAGUUUAAACUCUCCAGAGUAGCAUCAGUAAACUUCCCAGCCAGGUAUUGGUUCCCUGCCAUUUCAGGUACAAUCUCUCUCUCUCUUGUACAAGUCUUCCCCUUACCCAAAAAUGGUUCCAAUGAUCCAAAGAACUUGAAACCCUGCUUUGGUUGUUUAUACAUACAUGUUAACUGUUUAGGAAGGCUGAAAAGUAACAUACCAUUUCUUCUAAUAGACAAUUUUUCUUUUCAUUAGUUGUUGAUUUUGUGAUUUGGAGCCAUUAUGGAAGGAGAAACUCAGUCUUACAAACCCCCCUCAAAGGAUUUUGUAGCCCAGUGCAUUUUUUUGGUUUAAAAUGACCUUCAAAUGUUUCUGAUUCCAUUUAGUAAAGCAAUUUAAGUCUGGAUAGUGUAUUUUUCCUUCAUUAAUAAAAUGAACUAAAAAACACAGAUUAUAUAGAUAAGUAACUUGGACAAAAUGUAGAUGGGUUGAUAAUUCAGAUGCAGACAACACAAAAGUUGGUGGAAUUUUGGAUAGUGAGGAAGGUUGUCAAAGGAUAAAACAGGAUAUGGAUCAGUUGCAAAUAUGGGUAGAGAUAGUAGAUGGAGACUGGGCAGCAUUGAAGUCAUACAAUUUAGGAAGUCACUGCAGCAAUAUAAAACAUUGGAGAGAGUGUUGCCUGGACUAGAGAAAAUAAGCUAUUAGAGAUGUUAGAUAAACCUUCAUGUUUUUUUUUCUGGAGCAUUAGGGGCUGAGGGGAGACCUGAUCGAAGUUUAUAACAUUUUGAGAUACAUUAUUAAGGAAAAUGGAGUCCUUUUCUUUGGGUACAAUUGCCAAAUACAAAAUGGCACAGCUUUAAAAUGAGAGGUUUCUUACAUAGUGAGUGGCAAGUGUCCUUUCCACGUAUGGUGUUUAUGAGGCACUUGGGCACAUAAACAUACAGUGAAAUGAAGGAUAUGGAUCAUGUGCAGGCAGCCAGUUUAGUUUAAUUUGGCAUCAUGCUCACCACAGAGAUCAUGGACUAAAGGCCCUGUUUAUGUGCUGUACUGUUCUAUCAGCAGGUCAGGCUGUGUCUGUGGAGGCAGAGGGACAAUUAACUUUAAGGGUCAACAUUUAAGGCUCGAUUUUUUUUGGAAAAAAAGACCAAACCAGUUCCUCUGCAUUUUCUUUUACUUUGAUGGACUUGUCCUUACCCUCAACAACUUCUCUCUCAAUUUCUCACUUUAUGUUGCUCAGUGGGCACUUGUAUGAGCCCUAACUAUGCCCAUGUAUUUGCUGGCAAUUUCAGCACACACCCCUUCCCCAAAUUUUCUGUACUGCAUCUGAACUAUUUCAUGCACUUGUAUGUAACUUAUCCACCCUUGUCAACAGACUUCCUCAAAUUGCUCUGGACUGAUUCUGACACUAUUCUUCCUUUCCUGGAUCACUGUCAUCUCUUUUUCAAUUUCUCCAUCUCUUGCAUCUGCUGUCAAGAUGUGGCCUUAGACCAUACAGUUCAAGCCUUCUGAAAUGUCUCCUGCUUCCUGAAAGGUGGAUUCACCUCUACUAUAGUUGAUAGAGCUCUAACACAUAUUUCCUCAACUACUGGCAAAUCUUCUUUCCACCCACUAGUCUCCCCCCAGCCAUAACAAAUUUUCUUUGCUUUGCACUGUUCUCCCCACGAGCCUGUUUCUGCAUUCUUUGCCAUGUCCUCCAGCUUCAACGUGAUCUUACUACCAGUCGCGUUUGUCCCACACCUGUCUACGAUACCCUCCUCACUGAACCCAGGCACUUUCUUUUGCAAUUCUACAAGGUGUAAUUGUCACUUCACAUUCUCUGACAUUGUUCAGGGACAUAAACAUCCCUCUAGGGGUGAGAAAGUCACCUGCAUUUCUUCCAACCUGCUCUAUUUCACACAGUAAUCAUAAUGUAGCCGUAUCUACAUUGGAGAAAGCAAGCAUAGACAUAGACCAGUACUGCACUAGAACAGGCCCUUCUACUUGCACAAGGCCCAUAUUGCUCCAUUUUCUGCAAAUUCAUGUACUUCUCCAAGGGACUCUUAAAUGCUUCUAUAUUUACCUCCACCACCACUCCUGGCAGCGCAUUCCCAAUCACUAUGUGUGUAUGUAUGUGUAUUGUCCAACACAUAUGAUGCAACAUGACUUCCAAACUUUUGUACUCAACAUCUCAACUGAUGGAGGCAAGUAUGCUGCACUCUUCUCCAUCCUGUGCCACUUUCAAAGAGCCAUGAACUUGUAACCUAGAUUCUCGCUGUACAUCCAUGCUCCAAAAAGUCCUGCCCUUUACUGCCACUUUCCUCUCACAUUUGAUCUCCAAAAGAGCAAUGCUUCACACUGCUCCAGAUUGAACUCAACCUGCCAUUUCCCUGCCCACAUUUCUAACUGAUCUAUAUCCUACCCAUAAUUUGAUAAUUUUCCUCACUAUCCACAACUAUGCAAAUUCUUGUCUCAUCUGCACUUAAUUUUACAUAUCCAACAUAAUAGUUAAUGUUCCAGGUCACUGCAGGUGCUGCCAAGCCUGAUUUAAUUUGUAUUACUGGUGUUCUGCAUCUAAAUCAAAGGUAAAAGGUACUGAUUAUUUAAAAAACACAUCCUUUUAAAACAAUUGCUAAUGCAGUAAUUGUAAAGAAUACCAAAACUUAAUCUGUUUAUUGGGAAAUGAAAGCAGAAUAACUUGAACACAGUUUAAUUUUGUCAAGAACAAGAAUUAAAGAUUGCAGUAUUAUUUAAAGUAUACUGUAAAAAUUAAUUGAACAGUAAAAUGAUCUACUUCAGAAAAUGCCAAUUUCAACUCUCAGCUCAUCAGGUGUUUAUGGGUUGAAGGCCCACAGCAGCACUGCUUUUAGACGUACCAUCUUUUAAAAUAAUUUAUAAACAGCAGCCCUGUUCAAGCAUUUCAGAAAGAUAGAAGUUAUCUGUGAUAUUAAAAGAAUGAACAGUUUUACCAUGUCUGUAAAUUCAAUUGAAGAAGCAGAUACAUCAGUUGUUGAGUAAAUUGGCAACUGAGUACCAUGAGAAUAAUCAAUUCAGAAUUAAUUAGCUGGGAACUGUUUCAAAUAUGAUAAAGAGCAAGACUGUUCUCAGUAAAGCAGGGAAUCUAUUAUAAUACGUGAAAACAGUUUACACCAUUGACCACCUGUCACAGUGGGUUAUUGAAGUAUAAACUAACGAUAGGCAUUUUCACCAUUUGAAGGGAAUAACAAGUCAUUCAGUCUAUUCAUAUUUGUAAUCUAUUUGUAGAACUGCAAAAUAGAAUUUGCAAAAUAGAUUUAAUAUGUUACAUUAAGUAUAAUCAAAUGUGAAUAGAUUUUCCAAACCUUUUUAAACUUGGUCGAUAAAGUAUUGCAAGAUAUUUUGUUAGUGAUUGAUCUGCAAAUAUGGUUCAUCUUUAAACUCAUUGUCCAAGAUAAAAAUAUCAUUUAAUGCUAUCCAAGUAAUAAGAAAUGAGCCAUAUUCAAUGUUCAAUCACACAUAUAGUAAGUUUAAGUUAAGCUGUAAAUUAGUUUUUGUCUGAAAGUAAAAGUCACAUAAAGACAAGAGGCAAGUUACUGGAAAAGAUUCUGGAAUUGUGGCACCAAGCUGUUGACUAAAUGGCAACUUGUCAUCUUUGUAUUACAUUAAUCAGUAAAUCAGUUGAGAAACAAACUCACAUUAUUGAAACAUCCAGUAACUUUGUACAUACUAAAUUAUACAAGUUGUGGAGGAGAUUGCCACAGAGUUGUGAUAUUUAUUCAUCACACAAGGACGACACUAGUGGUCCUCCAAAUAUGACACCUUUCACAACAGAUGUGAUGAAGUGUGCCAACUGACACUGGAACCCAUUGGGCAACAACAACUGUUUGCACAGAAUUAAACUUCUUUAAAAUCAAAAAGAAAAAUACUUAGGUUCAGCAAGCUAACUGAAUAAUGAUACCCCCUCUCCAGCAUUUACAUUAUUUUACAAACUCCAAAUUCUGAGGCCAAAAACAUGGGCUAUGACUCUUCACAAAAUCACUACUCAUAUGGCAUAUCACUCUUUCGAUACAUUUGUUCAGAUUAUAUAUUCUUGGACUGUUUGUAGAAUGCUUUUAUCCUGAAUGAUUUUACUUAAAUUGAUCUCAAGCCUUCCAUUAUUUUUCUGUGGAAAUGUGAAGCAGGGUGUGAAACAUAAUAAUUGGCAGUUCUCCAGUCAGUUGAAGGUGGAUAGGCAUUUCUAUUUGAGGACUGCAAUUACAAUCUUUCACUAUAGUUUCCAUGUUUGGAAGAAAUGAAUAAUUCAGAACACAGACUAUAACAGCUACUAUUAACAGCAUUGAGUACAG
Molecule: long non-coding RNA, 7513 nt
Organism: Hypanus sabinus (Atlantic stingray)
Lineage: Eukaryota; Metazoa; Chordata; Chondrichthyes; Myliobatiformes; Dasyatidae
Exons: 2
Source: RefSeq, a predicted model, not a curated record